UAUUUGUUUGCAAUCUGAAUUUGAUUUGAAUCCGGCAUAAAUCCAAUCAGAAUUUGAAUAUAAACGAAUCAAAUUUGGAUCUAUCUAUAUCCGAUCCAAUCUGUUUGCAGCCCUAAUUUUUCGUUUAGGGAUUUAUAUUCCCCCACAGUACAUACUCAUUUGUCACUGGUUUUUCUUUAGCUUGCUGGAAAGUUUUUUGAGAUGGAGAUUUUCAUCUGGGAGUUAUAUUUUUUCAUAUUUUUCUUAACAUUGUACUUCUAGAAUCAAUGAAAAAAUUUGUCAUUCCUAGAUAACUUUUCCAUAUGAAAUAAGGGAAAUGUUUCCAGCUUUGGAAUCUCGAAAUGAUGUUCCCUGUUUGGGUGAAUUUUGCAAGAUAUUUGUCCACCUUAAUUUACUUUCUGCUGAAUCAAAUACAUAGGAACAUAAGAAAAUGUUUUCCACGAGGACCAAUUUUUGCUAAAAAAAUCCUACUGAAAGUCGCUUAUUUCAGUAGUUUAUAUGAUUUACCUACACAGAUAUUAUGCUUCCCAUCAGAUUUUAUCUGUCUCAUCCAAAGAAUCCUACUGGUACCUGGUAGCUGUUUGCGUCUAUUUAGCCUUAUUAUUUCUAUUGCAUUGCACAGAUCAGUCACUUGAGGUUCAACCAUACAUUGUAAGUUUUUGAUUCGUAGACAUUUUGUGUCUGAGGAUGGUUUACAAAAAAGCUCCCUCCUACUUUGUUGCUUCUCCAAGCACUGCUUGUUGCUGCUGGUGUUCACCAGUGUGUUUAAAUUCUGGGUGCAGAGAUUGCAUUUCAAGUUUUCAACGACUCUGCCAAAUCUGAAUUAUUUUGCUUCUAUAUGUGCAGUUAAAUAAGUGCUCAAGUUUUAUUAUUUUUAUUUUUUAUUUUUUAAUCGUAGACACUGUCUUCUGUGAUGCUUACCUAAUGUCUUCUCUUUUUAUAGUAAUUGCUUUUCAUGUUUAAAAUAAAAAUUAAGAACACAUUGGAAUUUAUUUUUGCCUUUUAAAUGCAAGUAAAUUUCUUGCUCUUUCUCUUUUAUUGAUUAUUUUACCUUAUCACAGUUGGAAUUGAAAGAAACCAUCGGCUUUGCCUGGGUUGUCAUGGACUCAGGGGUCACUGUUUGAUGUGUCUCAAAGAGCCUUUUAGAUUGGGAUUUCCACUAAACAAGCUGGAGGGGCCUUGCAUGUGCAUGAAUAAAUCAGGAGGUUGAGAAAGAAAAGCCAUGUUGUACAUUGAUGAUUGAUGGUCUUUCUCAACAUUCAGGAGAGUCCAAUGCAUCAUUUCAACUGAUGUAUACUGAUAUAAGUUUGAAUCUACUCAGCCAUGUACUAGUUUGCAGCCUAACAGGAAAURCAUAUUAGCCUUUAUGAAAAGGGAAACAUACUAGAAGGGAUAAUUCUGAAGUUGGGGGAUAGAGCUAAGGCAACAUGAAGUCAUGAACAUUGAACAUGGAAUGAAGGGGGGGUUUCUCCUUUUUAUCUUAAAGCAUAUGAAUUAUACUUCU
Molecule: non-coding RNA, 1504 nt
Organism: Nelumbo nucifera (sacred lotus)
Lineage: Eukaryota; Viridiplantae; Streptophyta; Magnoliopsida; Proteales; Nelumbonaceae
Source: RefSeq, a predicted model, not a curated record